Molecule: long non-coding RNA, 688 nt
Organism: Nicotiana tabacum (common tobacco)
Lineage: Eukaryota; Viridiplantae; Streptophyta; Magnoliopsida; Solanales; Solanaceae
Source: RefSeq, a predicted model, not a curated record
GGCAUAGCCUAGUAAUGUGGCAUGCGAGGAUUUCAAGUUAUCUUUUUUCUCAAUUUUUUUUUACCUUUUCUCUAUUAUUUUGCUUUUUUUUUUCUCUUUGUUUCAAUUUUUUUGACCGUUCGGUUAAACACUCAAAAGUCAUGCCCUUUCGUAACCCUUUUCAUUAAACCUGCCUCUAUUAAUCAUUAUCUUACUUAAGAAGAAGAAGCGUUUCAACAGAGCCCAACUGCUAUAUAGUUCAAAAGUCUUUUUCUGAAUAAGAAAAAAAAACUCAAACUCAAGUUUAAUCUUUCAUUGAACAAACAACUUUUAUGCCGUCGGAAGAUGGCUUCAACGUAUUGCCGAUUUACAUUGAGAUUUUUUGCCUUCUUCCACUUUCUAUGUAAAAGAGGGCCUGCAUCUCACAAUGCAGGUAAGGAUUUACAGGUCGACGACACAGAGCGCUAGGAUUCUCGUACCAGCUGUUUGGUGAUCCCCAGUUCUUUCGGGGCAUUAUCAUUACUUUACAGCCUUUCAGUAUUUACAGACAGUCAGUGUCUUCAGCACUUCAAUAGAGGCUUCAUAGACUAGAGUAACAGUUAGACAGAGUCUCAGACUUUUUAUGUUAAGCCAUGUUGGCUGCCAAUAUGUUUAAGAAUUGUAUUAAUAUUUCUGCACUUUGAUUUAUAUCAUCCAGACUUUCAGUAUA